Molecule: long non-coding RNA, 280 nt
Organism: Ochotona princeps (American pika)
Lineage: Eukaryota; Metazoa; Chordata; Mammalia; Lagomorpha; Ochotonidae
Exons: 3
Source: RefSeq, a predicted model, not a curated record
CAGGGGUGGAGAAGAGUGAAAGCUACGCUCCCAAAAACAGGCCAUUGCCAGCCAGGGAAGUUAAACCAGCACCACUGCUUUAUCUCUAGCCAGCUCUGCACCUGCUGUUCAUGGGAUGUGUGAACACCACCAUUCAGAGUGUGAAGGGAAAAGGCACUGCAAACCACAUGCCAAGAGUCAGCUUCGACUUUGUAACUACUGAGAAGAGCAACUCAAAGCUGCAGAAGGCCAUGGGAUGGGAGUGACUGGCAAGCUGCUUCCAGGAGAUCAGUGAGACUCA